RNAcentral lists this small RNA (591 nucleotides) under Pongo abelii (Sumatran orangutan). RNAcentral describes it as "processed transcript". The record is from RNAcentral. Lineage: Eukaryota; Metazoa; Chordata; Mammalia; Primates; Hominidae.
GGUGAAAUCCUAUUUAGCACAGUUUGCAGCUCGUGCCAUCAUUUCAGAGCUGAAAUUGAUCAGAAUAAGGACCGCAUGUUGGAGAUUUUGGAAGGAAAGGGACUGAGUUUCUUAUUCCCACUCCUCAAAUUGGAGAAGGAACUGUUGAAGCAAAUAAAGUUGGAUCCAUCCCCUCAAACCAUAUAUAAAUGGAUUAAAGAUAACAUCUCUCCCAAACUUCAUGUAGAUAAAGGAUUUGUGAACAUCUUAAUGACUAGCUUCUUACAGUACAUUUCUAGUGAAGUAAACCCCCCCAGCGAUGAAACAGAUUCAUCCUCUGCUCCUUCCAAAGAACAGUUAGAGCAGGAAAAACAACUACUACUUUCUUUCAAGCCAGUAAUGCAGAAAUUUCUUCAUGAUCACGUUGAUCUGCAAGUCAGUGCCCUGUAUGCUCUUCAGGUGCACUGCUAUAACAGCAACUUCCCAAAAGGCAUGUUACUUCGCUUUUUUGUGCACUUCUAUGACAUGGAAAUUAUUGAAGAAGAAGCUUUCUUGGCUUGGAAAGAAGAUAUAACCCAGGAGUUUCCGGGAAAAGGCAAGGCUUUGUUCCAG